RNAcentral lists this ribosomal RNA (320 nucleotides) under uncultured eukaryote. Its description in RNAcentral is "partial 18S ribosomal RNA". It matches the Rfam family "Eukaryotic small subunit ribosomal RNA", at positions 1470 to 1796 of the family's 1831-position model. The record is from RNAcentral.
CCCCUAGAUGUUCUGGGCCACACGCGCGCUACACUGAACAGUUCAACAAGUCUUAACCUUGGCCGAUAGGUCUGGGUAAUCUUUGAACGCUGUUCGUGAUUGGGAUAGACCUUUGCAAUUAUGGGUCUUCAACGAGGAAUUCCUAGUAAACGCAAGUCAUCAGCUUGCAUUGAUUACGUCCCUGCCCUUUGUACACACCGCCCGUCGCACCUACCGAUUGAAUGGUCCGGUGAAAUCUCGGGACGGCGGCUCGGUCGCUUGCGUCCGACUGCUGAAACUUGAUUAAACCAUAUCAUUUAGAGGAAGGUGAAGUCGUANCA